This 76-nucleotide small RNA is filed under the name Xanthomonas campestris. Its description in RNAcentral is "sRNA sX9". It matches the Rfam family "Xanthomonas sRNA sX9". The record is from RNAcentral. Lineage: Bacteria; Pseudomonadati; Pseudomonadota; Gammaproteobacteria; Lysobacterales; Lysobacteraceae.
AUGUCGCCCCGUAAACUCCGGUUCCUGCGCGCAGGCCGCACCCACCUGACAACUUGCUCGCUACGUUUCGCUAGCC